AAUAAGAUCAUUUUCACUUUUUUUAUACAAUAUUUUGACUCUUCGUCUUGUUUGAAAUUUUUUUACGAUUAAUAUUUUUAUUCUUAUUAGAUGAUAAAACAUGAAUAGUACUUUAUGCGUGACUAAUUUUUUAAGUUUUUGUAUAAAUUUUUUAAAUAAGACGAAUGGUCAAAUAUUGGACAUGGAAAAAC
Molecule: non-coding RNA, 191 nt
Organism: Oryza brachyantha (malo sina)
Lineage: Eukaryota; Viridiplantae; Streptophyta; Magnoliopsida; Poales; Poaceae
Source: Rfam